GGGCGUAUGGUCUAGAGGUAUGAUUCCUGCUUUGGGUUCUGAAACUCUUGUGCAGGAGGUCCCCGGUUCAAUCCCGGGUGCGCCCC
Molecule: non-coding RNA, 86 nt
Organism: Lentinula aff. detonsa
Lineage: Eukaryota; Fungi; Basidiomycota; Agaricomycetes; Agaricales; Omphalotaceae
Source: the annotation of a GenBank genome assembly